CUUUACGUACACACUUGUAUAAAAUUUGAAAAAUAAUAUUUUCUGAUUAUUGAUUGAAUGUAUUCAAACAAUUAAUCACAAGUAACUAUCUAAAUUGGUGACAUUUGGCAACAGUGAGUAGAUCUGGUUUAUUUAUGUAUGUUUAUUCCAAACAUAACCUUAUAAACAAACAGUUGUUUAUUUAGAGUUAUUUAUUAUUGUUUUCUCAUAUUUUGCAAUUGUUAAGUUGGUUUACUUCGAAUUUAAUGUGCAUUACUGUGGUAUUUCUCCAGUUUUCUAAGAAGGUUGGUGAUUUUGAAUUGGGAUUAUGAUGAAUUUAACCCAAAGGCAAUGUGUGUGUUUAUUUAUGUGGCAAAAUUCCAGGCAGCAUAAAAAUUUGAGUUUCUUCCUGUUGCCCAUGGAUGAAAAUCGGUUUGCAGAAUGAAAAGAAAUUGUUCAAUGUGAUAAACUUUCUAUGAACAGUCCUCAGUGUUGUUACAUUAACUUUUAAAUAUGCAUCUUGAGGAGCAGGCCUUUGCAGAAAUACUGAAAAGCGGGUUGCAAAACAACGCAAAAUAAAAUAAACGAAAUAUGUCUUGAGAUUAAACAUUCAAGUUGAAGGUGUGUUCUUUCUUAAACUGGAAUGAUAAUUUUGUAAUUCUGUAGGCACAUCUAUUGAGAAGUUACAACCAGUGGCAAAGUGCCUUAAGGGAAUCUAUGACAUAUAUAAUUGAAGGUAUGAGUAUAUGUUUCAAAUCGUUGGAUGAUUCUGAGAAAGUGUAAAUUUUUUUCAUGAAUUUGGUACAUAACCGUCUUUAUCUAAACUCUAAAAAUCAUUGACAUCUGUUUUGAAGAACCAUGUUCCUAGAAACCAUUGAUAACAAAUAUAGACGGUUACCUCUGCAUUCGUUGUAUCAUCUUACUACUCUAUCCAUAGUGAGUCUAAUUUUUAAAUCUAUAAUAAUUGUUUACGUGCUGGUUUCAUAAAGAUGCUUCAAAAAUCUAUAUGGGCCUUACUAGGCAGCACAGCCAUGCCUUUAAUAGUUUUUCCAAUUAUAUUUUCAAUAUGCUUAUUCUAGUUAAGAUUGCGGGACAAAAAGACCACUAAAUAUUUGAGUUCAUUUUUAGGUAUCAGCAUUGGCUCUACAGCCCAUGGUGGGUCUUGGCCUGUUCCAGAAUCAGCUUCCACUCUUUCCUAUCCUUUGCUUGGAUUUCCAAUUUCUCACUCGAGCAUGAAUUUUUGGUAUAUAUGGGAUUAUAUUGUGAUAACGACCAGAUCUAUGAAAGAAUAGUAUGUUGUUAAAGAAGAUUGUGGUGACACUAUUCAUGAAUAUCUGAUAAUAUUGGUUAAUGUGAAUGGAGUCCAAAAUGGGGUUUAGGCUGUUAUAUAAAAAACUAGGUCAUUAGCAUAUGGAAGUAGGGCGACAUUAUCUGGUAUUAAAUUAUGUGAAUGAGGAGAAUUAAACCUAAAAACUCUAUUUAUUCUGCUAAUCAAUAUGAAUUUAAUAUAUUUUAAUAUAAAACAUAUGUUAUUCUUUCUAGGGACACCUCCUCUGAAGGAAUUACAAUUAUUUGCCAGUAUGUCAAAUGAAUUUUCAACAUCAGUCAUACUUUCAUGAAUUUAUUGAUGAAAAUAAAACUAGGUACAUGAUUUAUUAUUUACUUCCAAGGGAUUCUAAGAUACUAUGUGUAAAAAGUCCAAUAUGCAGUGAUGAGCAUGCUAAUAACUGGCAAAAUAUGGGAUAUAACGCCAAAGAUGGGAAACAUGGGAUGCAUUCUGAAGUAAAAAGAGAUGAAACUGAGAGAAAUUAUCGAUAUAAACAUAUAAAUUAACAUUGCAUUACAUAGUUUCCCACCUUUAGACGUAUCAGAUGAGUAUGAGAACUGUCACUGUGCCAGGAGAAUUUUAUAAAAUACUCCUGUCACAGAGAUCUAAAGGUGGGAAACUAUGUAAUGUUAUCGUCGGCUAAGAGUGUUAACCUGCUAACUCUAUUUUUCACUGUGAGUGAUAUUGGGGUAGUUUCUAGGUCUGUGUACCUUCAUACCAUGUCCCACAAGCCCGCUGGUUCCACUGUAGUUUAGAGAUAGCUAUUUCUAAACUACAUUGGUGUCGGCGGGUUUGUGUGGUGGUGUAUGAAAAUACACGGACCCAGAAACUAGCCCAAUAUCACUCAAAGUGAAAAAUGGAGGUUAAAACUCUUAUCCAAGGUUAUGUUAAUUUAUUCGUUUAUAACGAUAAGUUCCACUUCUACCAGUUUCAUCUCUUUUUAUCUCACAAGUUAAUAUGUUUUCCAUCUUUUGCGUUAUUUUGCCGGUUAUUAGUGUGAGUGCUCAUUACUGUAUAUUUACGAUUCUGUGAUUUCUCAAUAUGAUGCUGAGUAGGUAUAUAGUAGGUAUCUACAACCCUUUCAAAACAGAAAUUUAUAAGUUCAUUUUAUGUACCUAUUAAACUUUAUUUUAAGAGGAUCGGUACGUAUUUUUGGCUGCAAUCGUAUUCAAAUGGGGAUUCAUUUUUUUCAAAUCCUGAGAAAACCAAUAAGUAUUUUUGAAAAAUUUAAACGCAGAAUGAAAGAUUACGUUAUUAGCGAGGGCCGAAAGUCCCUGAGAACUUCUAUAAUGUUUAUUUUAAUAAGUUACAGGGGUGAAAAAACUAAGAGAAAAUUUAGUGUGAUUUUUAAUUUCAAAUAUAUCAUUCAAAAUAAAGUUUUUAUUUAUUCUAAGGGACUUUCGGCCCUCGGUAAUAAUUUAGUCUUUCAUUCUGCGUUUAAAUUUUUCAAAAAUAUUUAUUGGUUUUUUCAGGAUUUGAAAAAAAUGAGCACAAUGCCGUGGUAAUAUUUUCCAAAUCUGUCUUUGUCUUACAACGCACUCAACCGAAUAUAAUAUUGUCAGCGUAUAUUGUCAGUCAGACACUGACAAUCAGUGACAAUUUUAAAUAUUUGACAUUGCAUCGGGAAUAUUUUGAGAAAUUGAUUAAAUAUUAUUGAUAUAUAGUGUAUUUGAUAAAUAAUUGAUUUAAGACGUGAACUUAAUAAAAAGUUAUUUAUUGUGUAUUAUUUGUGGAAGAUCCAAGCAGAGAAUACAUCAGAUAUAUCCUGUGAUCCAAGUAUUUUGUUGUUAGAGAUGUUCAAAAUUGUAAGCGUUCCAAAAUAACAACAUAUUAUUAAAAAAUCACUUUAACACUUUUCCUCUUUUCUCGAUUGAUUAUUAGUUUUUGUUGUACAAAUAAAUUAUUACAAUCACUGAAAACAUAGUUAUUGAAAAAAUUAUCACAUUUAUUAACUGAAUUAAUAAUUUGCAAUUAUAAAAAUAACAGUUAUCCAAGAACAUUCAAAAGCCAUUUCUUUAAAUUAAUUAUGACAUUUUCAAGUAAAAUGACAUUCUAGUAAUGUUUACAUAUCCACACCAGUGUGAAUUUUACUACACGUAAUUUGCCGUGUAAAGACAGAAAAAGUAGGGAUACACGUAAAAUAUUUGCGAAUUAUGUACCCAUAGCCUUAAGGAUGAAUUUGAAAUGCUUGUAGGGAAUAUAUCUGUAAAAAAUAAAAUUGGUAUUGUAAAAUUGAAAUUCUCAAAAUAUAAUUUAUAAUUCGAA
Long non-coding RNA from Diabrotica virgifera virgifera (western corn rootworm), 3571 nucleotides. RefSeq lists it as uncharacterized. The transcript is spliced from 2 exons. The record is from RefSeq and is a predicted model, not a curated record. NCBI's taxonomy places the organism in Eukaryota, Metazoa, Arthropoda, Insecta, Coleoptera, Chrysomelidae.